Monodelphis domestica (gray short-tailed opossum) is the source of this 723-nucleotide long non-coding RNA. RefSeq lists it as uncharacterized. Lineage: Eukaryota; Metazoa; Chordata; Mammalia; Didelphimorphia; Didelphidae. The record is from RefSeq and is a predicted model, not a curated record.
UCCUUCCAGAUCUACCUUGGCAGCACAGUCAGUUCCUUUAGGGGUCUUCUAACUGGGUUGUUCUUGAGUGACAUCAUAGCUGGUACCAUGGCAACCCCCAGCUAUGGCUUUGGGCAAGGUGAAGUCCCCUCCCCGCUCCAUCUUCCUCUUUCUCCUUCAUCCAUCCCUAUGAGCUAAAAGCUCAAAGGGAUACAGGCAGGAAGGAAGCAUUGAGAAAGGAGAAGAGCACUGAAGUCCUGAAUCCGUGAUCAAGAACCAGCCAGAGGAGGCUGUUGCUAUUCCCGCAAGAGAAUUGACUUCCUGACCUAAGAGAUGACAGCAGUUGGACCAAUGAUGGAAUAUCCUGGAGAAGCACAGAAGAACUCCAUAUGCCCACCCACCUGGCCUUAGAGGGAAGUUUAUAGACAAGGUCAUCUCUAAACCAUCAUGAUCUAGUUAAAUGAAGGGGGUUCCCUAGGCAGACAUCCCCAAAUCUGGCUUUCUAGCAAGAGAAGAUUUUUGGUAUAGAAUCAGCCCUUAUGAUCAUCUGGAGAAUGAGCCCUCAUUCAAGAAUUUGAUCUGGUCUCCUGUGUAGCACUCCUCUUGGACAGAAGAAAGAACACUCAUGUUGCCCCUGACACUGGAGGUGGAAAAAGCCACAACAUGAGGAAAUGGAGGAUCCACUAUUCCCAUGAGUUUUUAAGAGCACAUAAGUAAAAGGGUUGGUUGUACAUCAGCCCCAAA